UCAGACGACCAUAGCGGAUUGGUUCCACCUGUUCCCAUUUCGAACACAGAAGUUAAGCAAUCCCACGUUCCAGGUUGUACUGCACUUUGCUGUGGGAACCCUGGUUAGUUGUCUACU
RNAcentral lists this ribosomal RNA (117 nucleotides) under Candidatus Woesearchaeota archaeon. The record is from RNAcentral. Lineage: Archaea; Nanobdellati; Candidatus Woesearchaeota.